Molecule: non-coding RNA, 96 nt
Organism: Acanthosepion pharaonis
Lineage: Eukaryota; Metazoa; Mollusca; Cephalopoda; Sepiida; Sepiidae
Source: the annotation of a GenBank genome assembly
UAAAACACCGGUUCCAGUACAAUUACUGAAGUUAAGCAACAUCAAGCAUGGUCAGUAUCUAGAUGGGUGACCACUUGGGAAUGCCAGGUGCUGUAA